Molecule: transfer RNA, 77 nt
Filed under: Desulfobulbus propionicus
Lineage: Bacteria; Pseudomonadati; Thermodesulfobacteriota; Desulfobulbia; Desulfobulbales; Desulfobulbaceae
Also listed under: 14 other names
Description: tRNA-Pro
Rfam family: tRNA
About the family: Transfer RNA (tRNA) molecules are approximately 80 nucleotides in length. Their secondary structure includes four short double-helical elements and three loops (D, anti-codon, and T loops).
Source: RNAcentral
CGGAACGUAGCGCAGCCUGGUAGCGCACCUGAAUGGGGUUCAGGGGGCCGGAGGUUCAAAUCCUCUCGUUCCGACCA